CCUACGGGUGGCAGCAGUAGGGAAUAUUGCACAAUGGGCGAAAGCCUGAUGCAGCAACGCCGCGUGCGUGAUGAAGGUCUUCGGAUCGUAAAGCGCUUUUCUGGGAGAUGAGAAAGGACAGUAUCCCAGGAAUAAGUCUCGGCUAACUACGUGCCAGCAGCCGCGGUAAAACGUAGGAGGCAAGCGUUAUCCGGAUUCACUGGGCGUAAAGCGCGUGCAGGCGGUGCGGUAAGUUGGGCGUGAAAGCUCCCGGCUCAACUGGGAGAGGUCGUCCAAUACUACCGUACUAGAGAGCAGAAGAGGAAGAUGGAAUUCCCGGUGUAGUGGUGAAAUGCGUAGAUAUCGGGAGGAACACCAGUGGCGAAGGCGAUCUUCUGGUCUGUUUCUGACGCUCAGACGCGACAGCUAGGGUAGUAAACGGGAUUAGAUACCCCGGUAGU
This 440-nucleotide ribosomal RNA is filed under the name uncultured bacterium. RNAcentral's name for it is "bacterial SSU rRNA". It matches the Rfam family "Bacterial small subunit ribosomal RNA", at positions 338 to 794 of the family's 1533-position model. The record is from RNAcentral.